Molecule: small nucleolar RNA, 82 nt
Organism: Callithrix jacchus (white-tufted-ear marmoset)
Lineage: Eukaryota; Metazoa; Chordata; Mammalia; Primates; Cebidae
Gene: U3
Rfam family: Small nucleolar RNA U3
About the family: Small nucleolar RNAs (snoRNAs) are involved in the processing and modification of rRNA in the nucleolus.
Source: Ensembl
AAGACUAUACUUUCAGGGAUCAUUUCUAUAGUUUGUUACUACAGAAGUUUCUCUGAAGAUGUAGAGUUUUCAAAAAAAAAUU